This 509-nucleotide long non-coding RNA is filed under the name Bos indicus x Bos taurus (hybrid cattle). RNAcentral describes it as "lncRNA (ENSBIXG00005016620.1)". The record is from RNAcentral. Lineage: Eukaryota; Metazoa; Chordata; Mammalia; Artiodactyla; Bovidae.
UUCCAGCCCAUCCAGCUUCUCUCUGGAGCUUGGCAGAGCCUGGUGGUAGAACCACAUGGAAUCCGCGACUCCUGCCUGCUCUGAGAGUUGUGCUCACCAUUCCGGCUGGACACACACGCUCCACUUUUCCUGUCACUGGACUGGGAUGUUCAGAGGGCCGGGGGGGCUCAAGUGUUGACAGUUACACCUUCACCAGGCUCUGAUCUGCUCUAGCUCUCAGGCACUGUGAGGCACCUUCUGUCCCCCAGGGGUCCCCCGCAGGCCCUAGGCUGGGCCGUCUGCAGUGUCACAGCCUGGGGCCUGAAGACCUGCCCUCAGCCACCCUCUUCACAGGGAAGAAGAUUCAUGAGGCAGCCUCCAACAAGGGUUUCAUCCUGGUAGCAUCACAGAUGGAUAGAGACGUCCUCUCCCAGUCCCUGUGCCCGAUAAAUGGCUGGAGGGGCUCCUUGAGGCUGGACAAUUGGGACCUGCUGUCCAAGAAGACUGUGCAGCUCGCAUCCUGGCUGACC